This is a long non-coding RNA of Syngnathus typhle (broad-nosed pipefish), 693 nucleotides long. RefSeq lists it as uncharacterized. The record is from RefSeq and is a predicted model, not a curated record. Lineage: Eukaryota; Metazoa; Chordata; Actinopteri; Syngnathiformes; Syngnathidae. The transcript has 2 exons.
GAACCAAAUAUUGACUUACCUUGGCUCAGGACGGACAGGAAUAAAUAACAGAUACCACGCAUGUGUAGGCUUUUCUAUCUCAACUGUACACUGAAAUGAGAAGACCUAUCUUCCCCCACACAACGGCAUCAUAAUGUCUCGUGCAUUUUUAACUUCCCUUUCGUGACAUUAAGGAAGGAAAACCUGUAGACUUAGAUAAGUCUUUGACUUCUCUUUGGAUCAACGAUAAAGAAAGGGUUAGCAUGAAGUUUACUCUGAACUUCCUUCCUUGGAUUUAUCUCCUUGCCUCCAAGCUGCAGACCAGAAAACUCUGAGUUUAAAAUGACCCAACAGUAAAUGAAGGGAAAUAAAGCAAUCAGAUAUUCAUGUGAAAGCAAUUUAAAAUUAGGUCUUGGUCCUUAUUGAAAUGUGUCUAGGGACUUCUGAAUGUGGACAAGAAAAUGUGUACAGAAGUCAACUUUUACCUCAGGGAGCUUUUGGCCUCAUGCUUUUGAUAAACGACUUGUGCUUCGUGAUCACUCUUACUAUUGAUUGUUUGAAUUUUUUUGCCUUCUUGUUUUUAUAUUGUGUCGCGUACUUGUAUGUCUAUCGUGUUAUGUGUCUCGUCACCGUGGGAUAGAGAAUAACGUAAUUUCGGUCUCUUUGCGUGUUGUGACGUGGAGAGAUUGACAAUAAAGCUGACUUUGACUUUGA